Bubalus bubalis (water buffalo) is the source of this 427-nucleotide long non-coding RNA. RefSeq lists it as uncharacterized. The transcript has 2 exons. The record is from RefSeq and is a predicted model, not a curated record. NCBI's taxonomy places the organism in Eukaryota, Metazoa, Chordata, Mammalia, Artiodactyla, Bovidae.
GUCACGGAUAAUCAUAAUCCCAUCUAUUGAUCCUAAACCUCUUUCAGCAGUGAGGAGAUGCAGUUACUGUAAGGGCAGUAAGGGCAAUGACUGUUCCCCAGGGACUUUGACAGAAAAAUCCAUUCACUUCAAAACUGAACACCAAGGCUUUUCUGGAAGAGCUAAAGAGUUGGAGGCUCAGGGAAUUGAAGUAAUUUGCACAAGUUCACCAACCUCUCCCAGUACAGAUGUGAAAAAAAAGAGCUGGCCAGCCUCAAAGAUCGUGCUUUCUCUGUGACAUCAUGCCAAGUCCCUGGAAGUUAAGCACUAGGAGCCUUAUUGCACAACUGGGUCAGCCAGGCGUCACCUGUCCCAGAAGCCUACGUGGGAAAUUCUAAGUGGGAAAAACACCCAGUCUCCUUUAAUAAAAAUGUGUUGUUGUUCAGUC